CCCUUAGAUGUUCUGGGCCGCACGCGCGCUACACUGAUACGUUCAACGAGUUUACAACCUUGAUCGAAGGGUCUGGGUAAUCUUUUGAAUGCGUAUCGUGCUAGGGAUAGACUAUUGCAAUUAUUAGUCUUGAACGAGGAAUUCCUAGUAAACGCAAGUCAUCAGCUUGCAUUGAUUACGUCCCUGCCCUUUGUACACACCGCCCGUCGCACCUACCGAUUGAAUGACUCGGUGAGAUAUCGGGACCGUUGUCUGGUUUGAUUCAUUUCGAACUAGAUAGUGGGAACUUUCUUUAACCUAUUUAUUUAGAGGAAGGUGAAGUCGUAACA
This 329-nucleotide ribosomal RNA is filed under the name uncultured eukaryote. RNAcentral's name for it is "partial 18S ribosomal RNA". It matches the Rfam family "Eukaryotic small subunit ribosomal RNA", at positions 1470 to 1796 of the family's 1831-position model. The record is from RNAcentral.